AUACCUUCUCGGCCUUUUGGCUAAGAUCAAGUGUAGUAUCUGUUCUAAUCAGUGUGAAAACUGAUUACCAUAUUUAAUAUGGUUUUUUUUUCA
Aphanomyces astaci is the source of this 93-nucleotide non-coding RNA. The record is from Rfam. NCBI's taxonomy places the organism in Eukaryota, Oomycota, Saprolegniomycetes, Saprolegniales, Verrucalvaceae.